AGCGAACGCUGGCGGCAGGCCUAACACAUGCAAGUCGAACGAUCCUUCGGGAUAGUGGCGGACGGGUGAGUAACACGUGGGAACGUGCCCUUUGGUUCGGAAUAACUCAGGGAAACUUGAGCUAAUACCGGAUGAGCCCUUCGGGGGAAAGAUUUAUCGCCAUUGGAGUGGCCCGCGUUGGAUUAGCUAGUUGGUGGGGU
RNAcentral lists this ribosomal RNA (200 nucleotides) under uncultured bacterium. RNAcentral describes it as "partial 16S ribosomal RNA". It matches the Rfam family "Bacterial small subunit ribosomal RNA", at positions 29 to 258 of the family's 1533-position model. The record is from RNAcentral.